GACGAACGCUGGCGGCGUGCCUAAUACAUGCAAGUCGAGCGAGCGGAACUAACAGAUUUACUUCGGUAAUGACGUUAGGAAAGCGAGCGGCGGAUGGGUGAGUAACACGUGGGGAACCUGCCCCAUAGUCUGGGAUACCACUUGGAAACAGGUGCUAAUACCGGAUAAGAAAGCAGAUCGCAUGAUCAGCUUUUAAAAGGCGGCGUAAGCUGUCGCUAUGAGAUGGCCCCGCGGUGCAUUAGCUAGUUGGUAAGGUAAAGGCUUACCAAGGCGACGAUCUCUAGCUGGUUUGAGAGGAUGAUCAGCCACACUGGGACUGAGACACGGCCCAG
RNAcentral lists this ribosomal RNA (332 nucleotides) under uncultured Lactobacillus sp. RNAcentral describes it as "bacterial SSU rRNA". It matches the Rfam family "Bacterial small subunit ribosomal RNA", at positions 28 to 334 of the family's 1533-position model. The record is from RNAcentral. Lineage: Bacteria; Bacillati; Bacillota; Bacilli; Lactobacillales; Lactobacillaceae.